GAUGAAAGUGGAAAGAAAGACGAGAGGAUCGGAUAGGAGAGAAGAGAAGAAGAGGAAAUGAUGGGGCGGGGUUUGAUAGACAGAAGAGAGGAGAGGGAGAGAGGGGUUGAUAGAAUAGGUGAAGAGAGUAGAUCAGAGGGAGCAGAAAAGAAAGGAUGAUGGGAAAGGAGAGAGGGAGUGUGUCGUCAUCUGAAGAGAGAGGAUGGGAGAGGAGGUGAUGAGAGAGGAGGAGAGAGGGAGUGUGUCGUCAUCUGAAGAGAGAGGAUGGGACAGGAGGUGAUGAGAGAGGAGGAGAGAGGGAGUGUGUCGUCAUCUGAAGAGAGAGGAUGGGAGAGGAGGUGAUGAGAGAGGAGGAGAGAGGGAGUGUGUCGUCAUCUGAAGAGAGAGGAUGGGACAGGAGGUGAUGAGAGAGGAGGAGAGAGGGAGUGUGUCGUCAUCUGAAGAGAGAGGAUGGGAGAGGAGGUGAUGAGAGAGGAGGAGAGAGGGAGUGUGUCGUCAUCUGAAGAGAGAGGAUGGGACAGGAGGUGAUGAGAGGAGGAGAGAGGGAGUGUGUCGUCAUCUGAAGAGAGAGGAUGGGACAGGAGGUGAUGAGAGAGGAGGAGAGAGGGAGUGUGUCGUCAUCUGAAGAGAGAGGAUGGGACAGGAGGUGAUGAGAG
Long non-coding RNA from Clupea harengus (Atlantic herring), 656 nucleotides. The record is from Ensembl. Lineage: Eukaryota; Metazoa; Chordata; Actinopteri; Clupeiformes; Clupeidae.